UUUUUAUAUUUUAAAAAAGAUAUUACUUCUAAAGGUCCGGUCGGGAAUUGACACAUAUAUUUUAUAAAAAUCAUUUGAAGAAAUUACUUAGUGAAAUGCCGCGCAGGGGUGGUGAUGACUCUCAAGAUGGACGCCAACGUCGUGGUCAGGAAUACGUUGAAAGUGAGGUUAUCGAGUUGGAGCCCGCG
Molecule: long non-coding RNA, 188 nt
Organism: Teleopsis dalmanni
Lineage: Eukaryota; Metazoa; Arthropoda; Insecta; Diptera; Diopsidae
Exons: 3
Source: RefSeq, a predicted model, not a curated record